Molecule: ribosomal RNA, 261 nt
Filed under: uncultured archaeon
Lineage: Archaea
Description: partial 16S ribosomal RNA
Rfam family: Archaeal small subunit ribosomal RNA
Source: RNAcentral
CAGCCGUAAACUAUGCGCGUUAGGUGUAUCGGUGACCACGAGUUACCGAGGUGCCGAAGGGAAACCGUGAAACGUGCCGCCUGGGAAGUACGGUCGCAAGGCUGAAACUUAAAGGAAUUGGCGGGGGAGCACCACAACAGGUGGAGCCUGCGGUUUAAUUGGACUCAACGCCGGGAAGCUCACCGGAUAGGACAGACAUAUGAUAGUCGGGCUGAAGACUCUACUUGAUGAUCUGAGAGGUGGUGCAUGGCGUCAGUGACU